AAACCUGUGGAGUGUGUUUUCUGCUUAGAGCGUGGGAGUGUGCAACCUCUCUUCUUUGACUGUUUAAUAGCCAAGAUUGUUUGGGAGGAGAUUAGUUCCUUUCUCUCUAAACAAAUUUGCAUCUCUGUGGAAUCUAUUUCUUCAUGUUGGAUUGCGAGCAAGAAAAUGGAUGCCAUUAACUCUGUUUCAUCUGUUGUUUUAUGGUAUAUAUGGAAGCACAGGAACAACAUGAUUUUUAACAGUGUUGUUUGACUUUCUUUAACCCAGGUUUGGUCGAUGGUUUUAAGAACUGUCAAGAAAUGGCGCCUCCUAUUCAAGGACCACAUGCUGGAACAGAUGGACAAUUUCUGCCCCCACCUACAAGGCUUGCUGAGAAGACACACACAACUGGAGUGGGGGUGA
Molecule: ribosomal RNA, 402 nt
Filed under: Triticum aestivum (bread wheat)
Lineage: Eukaryota; Viridiplantae; Streptophyta; Magnoliopsida; Poales; Poaceae
Description: partial small subunit ribosomal RNA
Source: RNAcentral